GUGAGGAAUAUUGGACAAUGGGCGCAAGCCUGAUCCAGCCAUGCCGCGUGCAGGAAGACGCAUCUAUGGUGUGUAAACUGCUUUUGUACGGGAAGAAACACUCCCUCGUGAGGGAGCUUGACGGUACCGUAAGAAUAAGGAUCGGCUAACUCCGUGCCAGCAGCCGCGGUAAUACGGAGGAUCCAAGCGUUAUCCGGAAUCAUUGGGUUUAAAGGGUCCGUAGGCGGUUUAAUAAGUCAGUGGUGAAAGCCCAUCGCUCAACGAUGGAACGGCCAUUGAUACUGUUAGACUUGAAUUACAAGGAAGUAACUAGAAUAUGUAGUGUAGCGGUGAAAUGCUUAGAUAUUACAUGGAAUACCAAUUGCGAAGGCAGGUUACUACUUGUGGAUUGACGCUGAUGGACGAAAGCGUGGGGAGCGAACAGGAUUAGAAACUCUUGUAGUCC
RNAcentral lists this ribosomal RNA (445 nucleotides) under uncultured bacterium. Its description in RNAcentral is "partial 16S ribosomal RNA". It matches the Rfam family "Bacterial small subunit ribosomal RNA", at positions 354 to 796 of the family's 1533-position model. The record is from RNAcentral.